Long non-coding RNA from Dendronephthya gigantea, 631 nucleotides. RefSeq lists it as uncharacterized. NCBI's taxonomy places the organism in Eukaryota, Metazoa, Cnidaria, Anthozoa, Malacalcyonacea, Nephtheidae. The transcript is spliced from 4 exons. The record is from RefSeq and is a predicted model, not a curated record.
AACAAGUGAUGAUCUAUGGAACCAUUUAACUCAAGAUUUUUCAAGUUUGUUCUGGCGUUCUCGUGCGACAAACAGGAUCAAUCCCUGGUAUUUCAUCAGGGCAGAUGGAAGCUGGACAAAUGGAGACUGGAUAAUAUUUUGGUAUGGUGUUGAUGAACCUAGAAUCUCUCAUGACCUUGUAGAAUUCGCUGGAACAUUGCCUGAAUCCUUUGACCCAAUCGCAAACCAUGAUGUUACGAUGAAGUCAGAAAAUAGAUCAACCACAAGCUACAUACAAUAUGUCUGAAGAUCUUGUUCGUAAAAUGACAUAUUUGUCAUCUACGGGAAAAAAUAGACUUACUAUAACAAAACUACAGUAGAGGCUAUACUAUACAGUGAACUGUAAUAAAAUAUUUUAUUACAGUUCACUAAUACUAUAGAAACCUAUAUAGACCCAGUUAGAUGAACUUUAAGAUAUAUUUUUUUGUCUCAUAAAACCCUGUGUGUACAAUUUUCUUGUAUUUAUACUAUUAUUUAUAGUUGCAUACAGUGUAUGAAUUCCAUGUACAUUAAUUUAGAUUUUAAAAUAUUAUAAAAACAUGUAUUUUUUUAAACACUAUAGUAUUUCAAGCCAAUACAAUUGUUCAGACAA